RNAcentral lists this ribosomal RNA (418 nucleotides) under uncultured bacterium. RNAcentral's name for it is "bacterial SSU rRNA". It matches the Rfam family "Bacterial small subunit ribosomal RNA", at positions 358 to 774 of the family's 1533-position model. The record is from RNAcentral.
GGAAUAUUGGUCAAUGGACGGUAGUCUGAACCAGCCAAGUCGCGUGCGGGAAGAAGGCCCUCCGGGUCGUAAACCGCUUUAGCCGGGGAGUAACGUGGGGGACGCGUCCCUCCGUGAGAGUACCCGGAGACUAAGCAUCGGCUAACUCCGUGCCAGCAGCCGCGGUAAUACGGAGGAUGCGAGCGUUAUCCGGAUUUAUUGGGUUUAAAGGGUGCGCAGGCGGCGAGUCAAGUCAGCGGUCAAACUGCGGCGCUCAACGCCGUACCGCCGUUGAAACUGGCGCGCUCGAGUUUGUGCGAGGAUGGCGGAAUGCGCAGUGUAGCGGUGAAAUGCAUAGAUAUUGCGCAGAACUCCGAUUGCGAAGGCAGCUGUCCAGCACACUACUGACGCUCAUGCACGAAAGCGUGGGUAUCGAACA